ACCUUCACUUCAGUUUGGAAUUCUCGUUCCCCUUGAGAUGCAGCUCCUUCUAGUCUCUUCACAGCUGCAACUUUCUGGGUGCUCGAUAUUAGCCCUUUAUAAACAGUCCCAAAUGAACCUCUGCCAAUUUCUUCCUUGAAACCAUCUGUACUUCCCUCUAGUUCUGUGAAGGUAAAAGAACGAGGACCAACUUCCUCACUUAAUGCAAUAUUCUCAUUUGCAGCUAUCCUUUUAUAUGCGCGGGCAUGAGAUUUAUAAAACAGAACGCCAGAAAUUGCCAACAUAAAAAAUCCGAAAACAACAAUUGAAGCACUGACAAUUAUAAUGCUGUUGCUAAGCUGAUUACUCUUUUUCUUUCUAGGCUCGGUUCUGUCUGUGGUGGAUAUGGAUCUGCCAACCUUGAUCAAAGCGAAGUUUGAGUCACCCACAUCUCUUUUUCCAUAUCUCAAAGGUAGCCUCUGCUUUCUGCACUGCCCAUCAUUGAAAAAUGCAGUGUCACAAUUACAGUCCUGCAAACAAGCUCUCUCACAUUCUUCUUUUAUAGAUAAUGAGAGAACAGAAUACGAAUCAUCUUCCCAUCCGGUAUUGGAAAGUUCUCGAAUUCUGAUGUCUCUAUUAUCAUCUUUGCAACUUCCAGCAGUGAAAUUUCUCUCACAUCCAGCAGUCCAGUUAUUCUGCAUAACAGAUACAAAUCCUGGAAGACAUAUACAAUCUGGUUCCUGAUCAUUUAAAACACAA
Molecule: unclassified non-coding RNA, 738 nt
Filed under: Hevea brasiliensis (rubber tree)
Lineage: Eukaryota; Viridiplantae; Streptophyta; Magnoliopsida; Malpighiales; Euphorbiaceae
Source: RNAcentral